CCUGGGGCAGAUGAUGGACAGAGAGGGAGAGAUGGAGUCCUGAGGGGGCGCUGGAGUCAUGGAGGGGAUGGUGGACACACAAAGAGAGAUGGAAUCCUGAGGGGGCGCUCGAGUUUUCCGGAGGAGAUGAUGGACAGAGAGGGAGAGACGGAGUCCUGAGGGGGCGCUGGAGUCCUGCGGAGAAGAUGACGGACAGAGGGGGCGCUGGAGUCCUGCGGAGGAGAUGAUGGACAGGAGUGGUCCUGAAGGGGGAACUGGAGGCAUGGCAGUGGAUGAUGGACAGGAAGGUGGAGGAGAGGUCCAGAGGGGCGCUGAAGUAACUUAAGGACGACGAAGUGGAGAGGAACCGACCUGGAGACUCUGGGAGGACCGGCAAGAGCAGUGAAACCUUCCAGAGCUUUUGACGUUGUCCAGCAGCGAGCUGUGCAUUCACGCUCUAGGCGGUUGAAGCGACCCUGUGAUGUGCUUCAAGGACCUUUAUCAUUGGAAAGUGGGUACCCAAGAGGCUUUGAUGAGGUGAGCUCUGGCAUCUAGCACCUCUAGCUUGGAGCUGUGUGUGCUGUUUCUCAAGAUGGA
Molecule: long non-coding RNA, 576 nt
Filed under: Mus musculus (house mouse)
Lineage: Eukaryota; Metazoa; Chordata; Mammalia; Rodentia; Muridae
Description: alncRNA-EC53
Source: RNAcentral